Erinaceus europaeus (western European hedgehog) is the source of this 379-nucleotide long non-coding RNA. RefSeq lists it as uncharacterized. The record is from RefSeq and is a predicted model, not a curated record. NCBI's taxonomy places the organism in Eukaryota, Metazoa, Chordata, Mammalia, Eulipotyphla, Erinaceidae. The transcript is spliced from 2 exons.
CGCUUAAAGGGGCCGCGCGCGGCUGCGGGCCGGGCCGUGUCGCAUGCCCGCCGUCCUGGCUCCGCCCCGCGCUCCCUGGCCCCCAGGCCGGGUGAGUCACCCCCACGGUCCCACCGCUCUCACUCUGGUGCUGGGGGGUGGUCGGGGCGGGGGCCUAGAGGUAGUGCUUCCUGGGGCUCUGGGUAGGGGUUAAGAGGCUGGAGAGGCCCUUCUCGUCGAGGAGCUGCAUCCGCUUCUCUCUGGUUGGGGUGAUCUGUGUGUCCUGGCCCUCCACGUGCCCAGAUCUGUUGUCCAGGGUGAAGAAUUCGGGCUCUGGGUGGUUUGUUAAGACCUCCCGAAGAGUGACCGCUGUGCCCGUGUUCAGUAAUAUCCAACUGCA